Molecule: ribosomal RNA, 526 nt
Filed under: Pseudomonas sp. 01xTSA12A_C05
Lineage: Bacteria; Pseudomonadati; Pseudomonadota; Gammaproteobacteria; Pseudomonadales; Pseudomonadaceae
Description: bacterial SSU rRNA
Rfam family: Bacterial small subunit ribosomal RNA
Source: RNAcentral
AGUCGAGCGGUAGAGAGAAGCUUGCUUCUCUUGAGAGCGGCGGACGGGUGAGUAAUGCCUAGGAAUCUGCCUGGUAGUGGGGGAUAACGUCCGGAAACGGACGCUAAUACAGCAUACGUCCUACGGGAGAAAGCAGGGGACCUUCGGGCCUUGCGCUAUCAGAUGAGCCUAGGUCGGAUUAGCUAGUUGGUGGGGUAAUGGCUCACCAAGGCGACGAUCCGUAACUGGUCUGAGAGGAUGAUCAGUCACACUGGAACUGAGACACGGUCCAGACUCCUACGGGAGGCAGCAGUGGGGAAUAUUGGACAAUGGGCGAAAGCCUGAUCCAGCCAUGCCGCGUGUGUGAAGAAGGUCUUCGGAUUGUAAAGCACUUUAAGUUGGGAGGAAGGGCAGUAAAUUAAUACUUUGCUGUUUUGACGUUACCGACAGAAUAAGCACCGGCUAACUCUGUGCCAGCAGCCGCGGUAAUACAGAGGGUGCAAGCGUUAAUCUGAAUUACUGGGCGUAAAGCGCGCGUAGGUGGUUC